UGCGUAGGCGGUUUACUAAGUCAGAUGUGAAAGCCCCGGGCUUAACCUGGGAACUGCAUUUGAUACUGGUAGGCUAGAGUAUGAUAGAGGGGGGUAGAAUUCCUGGUGUAGCGGUGAAAUGCGUAGAUAUCAGGAGGAAUACCAGUGGCGAAGGCGGCCCCCUGGAUCAAUACUGACGCUGAGGUACGAAAGCGUGGGUAGCAAACAGGAUUAGAUACCCUGGUAGUCC
This 229-nucleotide ribosomal RNA is filed under the name uncultured bacterium. RNAcentral's name for it is "partial 16S ribosomal RNA". It matches the Rfam family "Bacterial small subunit ribosomal RNA", at positions 568 to 796 of the family's 1533-position model. The record is from RNAcentral.